Molecule: ribosomal RNA, 253 nt
Filed under: uncultured bacterium
Lineage: Bacteria
Description: partial 16S ribosomal RNA
Rfam family: Bacterial small subunit ribosomal RNA
Source: RNAcentral
UACAGGGGGGGCAAGCGUUGUUCGGAAUUACUGGGCGUAAAGGGCUCGUAGGCGGCCAACUAAGUCCGACGUGAAAUCCCAAAGCUUAACUUUGGAACUGCGUCGGAUACUGGAUGGCUUGAAUUCGGGAGAGGGAUGCAGAAUUCCAGGUGUAGCGGUGAAAUGCGUAGAUAUCAAGAGGAACACCUGAGGUGAAGACGGGUUGCUGGGCUGAUACUGACGCUGAAGCGCGAAAGCUAGGGUAGCAAACGGG